GACGAACGCUGGCGGCGCGCUUAACACAUGCAAGUCGAACGGAAAGGCCUGCUUUCCCUUGUGGAUUGCGGGUACUCGAGUGGCGAACGGGUGAGUAACACGUGAGUGAUCUGCCCCCAACUUGGGUAUAAGCCUGGGAAACUGGGUCUAAUUCCCGAUAGGACUGCAGGGUGGUGCCUGUGGUGGAAAACGAUUUUCUAGUGGUUGGGGAUGAGCUCGCGGCCUAUCAGCUUGUUGGUGGGGUAAUGGCCUACCAAGGCGGCGACGGGUAGCCGGCCUGGGAGGGUGGACGGCAACAGUGGGACUGAGAUACGGCCCAGACUCCUACGGGAGGCAGCAGUGGGGAAUAUUGCGCAAUGGGCGGAAGCCUGAUGCAGCGACGCCGCGUGGGGGAUGACGGCCUUCGGGUUGUAAACUCCUUUCGACCGCGAGGAAGCCACCUGGUUGGAAGGGUGGUGACGGUAGUGGUAGAAGAAGCACCGGCUAACUACGUG
Molecule: ribosomal RNA, 494 nt
Filed under: uncultured bacterium
Lineage: Bacteria
Description: partial 16S ribosomal RNA
Rfam family: Bacterial small subunit ribosomal RNA
Source: RNAcentral